GGGAAUGUGGCUUAGUGGUAGAGUGCUUGCCUACCAUGCAUGAAGCCCUGGGUUCGAUUCCUCAGCACCA
RNAcentral lists this transfer RNA (70 nucleotides) under Dipodomys ordii (Ord's kangaroo rat). It matches the Rfam family "tRNA". From Rfam's summary of the family: Transfer RNA (tRNA) molecules are approximately 80 nucleotides in length. Their secondary structure includes four short double-helical elements and three loops (D, anti-codon, and T loops). The record is from Rfam by way of RNAcentral. Lineage: Eukaryota; Metazoa; Chordata; Mammalia; Rodentia; Heteromyidae.